GGGGGUGUACCUCAGUCGGUAGAGUGUUUGCCUAGCAUGCUGAGGCCCUGGGUUCAGUCCCCAGCACUGCCC
RNAcentral lists this transfer RNA (72 nucleotides) under Ictidomys tridecemlineatus (thirteen-lined ground squirrel). RNAcentral describes it as "Spermophilus tridecemlineatus (thirteen-lined ground squirrel) tRNA". It matches the Rfam family "tRNA". From Rfam's summary of the family: Transfer RNA (tRNA) molecules are approximately 80 nucleotides in length. Their secondary structure includes four short double-helical elements and three loops (D, anti-codon, and T loops). The record is from Rfam by way of RNAcentral. Lineage: Eukaryota; Metazoa; Chordata; Mammalia; Rodentia; Sciuridae.